AACGCACGAGACCUGCGGACCUGCGGAAGGAUCAUUACCGAGUUUACAACUCCCAAACCCAAUGUGUACGUUACCAAACUGUUGCCUCGGCGGGAUCUCUGCCCCGGGUGCGUCGCAGCCCCGGACCAAGGCGCCCGCCGGAGGACCAACCAAAACUCUUAUUGUAUACCCCCUCGCGGGUUUUUUUAUAAUCUGAGCCUUCUCGGCGCCUCUCGUAGGCGUUUCGAAAAUGAAUCAAAA
Molecule: unclassified non-coding RNA, 240 nt
Filed under: soil metagenome
Description: partial contains 5.8S ribosomal RNA, internal transcribed spacer 2, and large subunit ribosomal RNA
Source: RNAcentral